AAGUCGUAACAAGGUUUCCGUAGGUGAACCUGCGGAAGGAUCAUCAACACGUAUCCAACGUUAAACCCCCCGUGCAUCUUUAGAGAGCUCUUGUAAGCCCAUGACAGCAAUCCUGGUAAAUCAGUGGCGAAAGUAGUCUUGCUUCAGGACCUCUGUCUGGUGAGAACCUCUUUUAUCGUCAGUCUGGAGUCCUGGCCGGGCGAAUGAAAGUGUCGCUGGACGGUUUCUAGGUAAGCUUCGCCAUCACUGGAGGCUCAACACGGGCCGGUGCACAGACUGCAGGGUCCCCAUACCCUUUAUGACGAGUUAAAUAAGGCCUCUACAUAUCAAGUGCGCGUGGUAGAGGAAAACGUACAACUGUUAACAAGUUCUC
This 373-nucleotide unclassified non-coding RNA is filed under the name fungal sp. Its description in RNAcentral is "partial internal transcribed spacer region". The stretch from base 1 to 46 matches the Rfam family "Eukaryotic small subunit ribosomal RNA", at positions 1786 to 1831 of the family's 1831-position model. Lineage: Eukaryota; Fungi. The record is from RNAcentral.